GGUUUCUCUGUGUAGCUCUGGCUGUCCUGGAACUAACUCUGUAGACGAGGCUGGUCUCGAACUCACAGAGAUCCACCUGCCUCUGCCUCCCGAGUGCUGGGACUAAAGGCGUGCGCCACCACUGCCC
RNAcentral lists this microRNA precursor (127 nucleotides) under Cricetulus griseus (Chinese hamster). RNAcentral describes it as "miRNA (ENSCGRG00001003232.1)". The record is from RNAcentral. Lineage: Eukaryota; Metazoa; Chordata; Mammalia; Rodentia; Cricetidae.